Hordeum vulgare subsp. vulgare (domesticated barley) is the source of this 1843-nucleotide long non-coding RNA. RefSeq lists it as uncharacterized. The record is from RefSeq and is a predicted model, not a curated record. The transcript is spliced from 4 exons. Lineage: Eukaryota; Viridiplantae; Streptophyta; Magnoliopsida; Poales; Poaceae.
CUUGUUCGGUCCGAUCUCCUGUGGGCUUUACCACCUCUACCACAUACGGUUCCCCUCAAAAACAAAAACAAAAAAAAGCCUCUACCACAUCACCGAGGCCACUCCUCCCCGGAAUCCCACGCCACAGCCGAAUCCCGCGGCGCGUUCUCCUCCCAAAACCCAGCCGCACCGCGGGGUGGAGAAUCGGCCCGAGCUUGGCUUCGGCGCGAGCAGGGGCCGGCGGCCACCGCGGGAGGAAGACGGGAUGCCGCGUCCCUUACCCGCGCUGGCGACGCGUGCAGCAAAGAGAAUGGCGGGCGCGGCGGAGCGGGAGGAGACGCCGGCCUGCUGCUAUGGACCAAAAAUCAAUGGCCUAAAGGAUCAGCUCAUGGGAUUCGAGGCAAGUCUGGCAGACGCUAUGUCCAGUACGCAUUUCAAGCAUUUCUUCACUCACUUGUGCACUUUGCACCUGAGUGAAGAAAAAGGAUCACAAAGUAAGCUCACCAGUGAGUCAAUUUUGAAUGCCACUCCAACGAACGAGCAGCUCAGGAGCUUGGUCUUGUAUUAGAAGGCUAGGACUAGGAGAGAUAAGUGUAAUAUCACAUCAGCUUUGAGGACGUGAAAUCAACAUGCCUUCAUACAUCUUCAUUUGAUGCCAGCUAUCGAAGCUAUUGAGGCUAAUAUUGACACGAUGGGAAAAAGAACCUAGACGAAGUUAUCUUGUGGUACAAUAAAUUUCUCGGUUUUGAAGUUUUUGCAGAAUGUAUUGAGAGUUUCAAUGACAUGGUCCAUUAAGUUGCUUCAUACCAUCACAUGUGACAUCUCCUCUUUUUUCAAGGGGUUAGAUUUGUCUUCAAUAAAGUUGACAUGCAAAGAAUGGCGGGCCUGUGGCCUGCUGGUCCUGCACUGUCUAAUAUUCAUAUUGUUUGAAAAUGUAUAGGCAUUGAAGUUCUCAUUUUCUUUAUAUGACAGUAGUUGAGUGUAUUCCACUGCUUAAAGACACUGAAGAAUUGUUGAAGGAUUUCAACCGCACUAAAAAUCUCUAAAGUUUGUUAAGAGUCAUCAGAGCAAGGUCCUGGUUUCAAACCAGCCUCCUUGCAGAAGUACUCCCUCCGUCCCAAAAUAAAUGUCUUAAGCUUAGUACUCCCUCCAUUUUUAUAUACAAGGCCACUUCGUUUCUCGUGCCAAACUUUGACUUAUAAUUUUGGUCAACAAAAUAUGGGUUAUAUGUCGUAAAAAAUAUAUCAUUGAAAAGUUACCUAAAAAAUGUGCAUCUAAUGACAUACUUUUUAUGGUAUAUAACUAAUAAUUUUGUUUGUAAAAUUAACAGUCAAAGUUAGACAUAAAUAUAUGAAAUGGCCUUGUAUUAGUAGAUGGAGGGAGUUCAUUUUUGUAUUAGAGGUAGUACAAAGUUGAGACACUUAUUUUGGGACGGAGGGAGUAUUAUGCAAGGGUAAGGCUUUAAGCACUGGGUACACCCUUUUUAAAGUUGACAUGCAAAGUCCUGACAAUGAGUAUUUAUUUUGCGCAAAGGUCCCAUAAAGAUGAAUACAGCUGUGAGUUACAAGUUUCUACCUGUGCUUUCUAAUAUUCAUAUUGUUUGAAAACGUGUAGUCAACUAGUCAUUGAAGUUCUCAUUUUCUUUAUAACAGUAGUUCAGGGAAACUGCAGCAAGAUUCCAGCGGCUACCAUUAAAGGUAUUCCAUGCUUCCUUAGAAAACUUCAUCGAGUAGUACAUUUUCCCUGAAAUGCCAGUUAAUGAUGGCACUGUUUCCCCCAAGAGUAAUUAUUUUAAUAUUGCUGCCAUAAUGUUCUCUGUAUGUAUCGAGUAUUUACCUAAAUUUUCAGCAAUCUGUUUUGCACC